RNAcentral lists this microRNA precursor (65 nucleotides) under Danio rerio (zebrafish). RNAcentral describes it as "Dre-Mir-219-P2a_pre stem-loop". It matches the Rfam family "mir-219 microRNA precursor family", at positions 9 to 72 of the family's 79-position model. From Rfam's summary of the family: The hairpin precursors (represented here) are predicted based on base pairing and cross-species conservation -- their extents are not known. The record is from RNAcentral. RNAcentral also lists the same sequence under 1 other name. Lineage: Eukaryota; Metazoa; Chordata; Actinopteri; Cypriniformes; Danionidae.
UGAUUGUCCAAACGCAAUUCUUGUAACAUAUAAUAUAAAUCCAAGAAUUGUGCCUGGACAUCUGU